GUGCUUGAGCCCAAGACUAUGUUGUGUCCACAUAAUUCUGAGAUGAGGUCCCUGGCCUCAGAACUUGCCACCUCAUUGAGGAAGUAAGACUCACCCCAAUGAAACUAGCAAUACCAGACAUCAUAAAAUUAAGCGUGAACAACAGACACUACCAAAGUAUUCGAGCACCCUGCACUUCCUGUGUCCCUCCUAACACUUCCUGGAUUUGUUCCUGGCUGGAUGCUUCUACCUGGUGUGUUCUCAGUGUCGGACUCUGUGGAAUGAGGUGAUUGCCCAGCAAGAUUUCAACUAAUGCUUUCUGUUCAAAGAUCCUAUGCUUUCACUACAGACAUUCUGCUCCCAGAGACCUCUGAUUCUAUCACAAGCAAGGUUUUGGCUUCUUCAUCUUGCUCAAGCCACGGAAUAAAUGAAUCCCAUUUAGCCUGGAAUUUAAUAGUUGCAGACUCUGGGUUCAUCAUCAAAAACUUUGUAAAAGUACGGCCUAGGGCAUGAUUUGUUCCUUCCUUCUGUAAACUGGGGACAAUAACCCUACCUGGCUGAGCAUGGUGCCUCGCAUAUAGGAAAUGCUCAAUAAAUAUUAGCCUUUGUUAUUAAGCCUAACAUUCAAGGAAGAUUAU
Molecule: long non-coding RNA, 617 nt
Organism: Suricata suricatta (meerkat)
Lineage: Eukaryota; Metazoa; Chordata; Mammalia; Carnivora; Herpestidae
Exons: 3
Source: RefSeq, a predicted model, not a curated record